This 504-nucleotide ribosomal RNA is filed under the name uncultured bacterium. RNAcentral's name for it is "bacterial SSU rRNA". It matches the Rfam family "Bacterial small subunit ribosomal RNA", at positions 30 to 518 of the family's 1533-position model. The record is from RNAcentral.
CGAACGCUGGCGGCGCGUCUUAAGCAUGCAAGUCGGACGGCAAGGGUUGUGCUUGCACGAACUCCUAGAGUGGCGGACUGGUGAGUAACGCGUGGGUGACCUGCCCUCGAGAUGGGGAUAGCCAUUAGAAAUAGUGGAUAAUACCGAAUACGCUCAUGACCCUGUGGGAUAUGAGGAAAACAGGCUACGGCCUGGCUCGAGGAUGGGCCCGCGUCCCAUUAGCUAGUUGGUGAGGUAACGGCCCACCAAGGCGACGAUGGGUAUCCGGCCUGAGAGGGUGUACGGACACAUUGGGACUGAGAUACGGCCCAAACUCCUACGGGAGGCAGCAGCUAAGAAUAUUCCGCAAUGGACGAAAGUCUGACGGAGCGACGCCGCGUGGAUGAAGAAAGGCCGGAAGGUUGUAAAAUCCUUUUGCUGAUGAAGAAUAAGUGUGGUAGGGAAUGACCGCAUGAUGACAUUAGUCGGUGAAUAAGCCCCGGCUAACUACGUGCCAGCCGCCGC